Molecule: ribosomal RNA, 414 nt
Filed under: uncultured bacterium
Lineage: Bacteria
Description: bacterial SSU rRNA
Rfam family: Bacterial small subunit ribosomal RNA
Source: RNAcentral
UGAGGAAUAUUGCGCAAUGGGCGAAAGCCUGACGCAGCGACGCCGCGUGGGGGAUGAAGGCCUUCGGGUUGUAAACCCCUGUCAGGAGGGACGAAGCGGCUUCGUGCCGUAACGGUACCUCGGUAGGAAGCCCCGGCCAACUACGUGCCAGCAGCCGCGGUAAGACGUAGGGGGCGAGCGUUGUCCGGAAUUACUGGGCGUAAAGAGCUCGUAGGCGGCCUGUUAAGUCGGAUGUGAAAGCCCCCGGCUCAACCGGGGAAUUGCAUCCGAUACUGGCAGGCUAGAGUCUGGUAGAGGGAGGUGGAAUUCCCGGUGUAGCGGUGAAAUGCGCAGAUAUCGGGAGGAACACCGGUGGCGAAGGCGGCCUCCUGGGCCACGACUGACGCUGAGGAGCGAAAGCUGGGGGAGCGAACG